CCUACGGGGCGCAGCAGUGAGGAAUAUUGGUCAAUGGGCGGGAGCCUGAACCAGCCAAGUCGCGUGAGGGAAGACGGUCCUAUGGAUUGUAAACCUCUUUAGGCGGGGAGCAAUGCCGGGCACGCGUGCCCGGCGGGAGAGUACCCGCAGAAUAAGCAGCGGCUAACUCCGUGCGAGCAGCCGCGGUAAUACGGAGGAGGCGAGCGUUAUUCGGAUUUAGUGGGUUUAAAGGGUGCGUAGGCGGAUUUUUAAGUCAGCGGUAAAAUGUCCGGGCUCAACCCGGGCCGGCCGUUGAAACUGGGGAUCUUGAGUGUGCGAGAGGUAUGCGGAAUGCGUGGUGUAGCGGUGAAAUGCAUCGAUAUCACGCAGAACUCCGAUUGCGAAGGCAGCAUACCGGCGCCCGACUGACGCUGAGGCACGAAAGCGUGGGGAUCGAACAGGAUUAGAUACCCGAGUAGUC
Molecule: ribosomal RNA, 460 nt
Filed under: uncultured bacterium
Lineage: Bacteria
Description: partial 16S ribosomal RNA
Rfam family: Bacterial small subunit ribosomal RNA
Source: RNAcentral